Molecule: transfer RNA, 64 nt
Filed under: Sinomicrurus japonicus (Japanese coral snake)
Lineage: Eukaryota; Metazoa; Chordata; Lepidosauria; Squamata; Elapidae
Description: tRNA-Lys
Source: RNAcentral
CAUCAAGAAGCUUUCUAAAGCAUCAACCUUUUAAGUUGGAGAAGAAACACGGUUUCCUUGAUGA